GUAGGUAUAGUUUAACAAAAACAUUAGAUUGUGAAUCUAACAAUAGAUGACCCAAACCUCUUAUCUACC
This 69-nucleotide transfer RNA is filed under the name Perodicticus potto (potto). RNAcentral's name for it is "tRNA-His". It matches the Rfam family "tRNA". From Rfam's summary of the family: Transfer RNA (tRNA) molecules are approximately 80 nucleotides in length. Their secondary structure includes four short double-helical elements and three loops (D, anti-codon, and T loops). Further hydrogen bonds mediate the characteristic L-shaped molecular structure. tRNAs have two regions of fundamental functional importance: the anti-codon, which is responsible for specific mRNA codon recognition, and the 3' end, to which the tRNAs corresponding amino acid is attached (by aminoacyl-tRNA synthetases). tRNAs cope with the degeneracy of the genetic code in two manners: having more than one tRNA (with a specific anti-codon) for a particular amino acid; and 'wobble' base-pairing, i.e. permitting non-standard base-pairing at the 3rd anti-codon position. The record is from RNAcentral. Lineage: Eukaryota; Metazoa; Chordata; Mammalia; Primates; Lorisidae. RNAcentral also lists the same sequence under 1 other name.